GAAGAAGAAGAACCACCAAUUUAAAAAAACAAAAACAAAAAAACUAAAAGGCUGGGGACAUAGGUCAGUGGUAGAGCACCCCCUUGGGUCAAUAAUCAGAACUGCAAAAAAAGGGAAAGGAAAUGAUGUCUUUAGAAUACAGAGCCUCUAGGAUUAGCAUAUGUGUUCAAUGAGUUUUCUGCUAAUAUGAGAAGAAGGUUUGAGAGUGCUUUUAAACACUAGUUCCAGCCAAGUUUUUUCCUGCCUCUUCCACUUCUUUCUACCUUAACCUACCUGAUCUUCCCAAGAAGGAACAUAGGGAACAUGGAGGGAGAGCCUUAGAAAUAUAUCCUAGCCAUUGCCUGAAAAAAGUGAUUCCAGCAAAGUUGGUAUCCCCUGCUGUAUUGAAGUAGGUUAGGCUGUGCCAAAGUCUGAAAUAUAUACAAAAUCACAGUGCUAGAAACAAUGAAUUCCAUCACUAUGUAUAAUUAUAAUUCACCAAUAAAAAUAUGGAAAAAAUCACAGCAAUUAAAA
RNAcentral lists this long non-coding RNA (513 nucleotides) under Marmota monax (woodchuck). Lineage: Eukaryota; Metazoa; Chordata; Mammalia; Rodentia; Sciuridae. The record is from RNAcentral.